UGGCCUCAUCGAAAAUAGAUAAUUACAAGAACAACAAAUUUUCAACUUAAAUAAAAUGAUCUUCUAUUCAUAAUGAUAAACAUUGGCAGAUGCUGUUGGCGCAUACCCAAUAGCUAUAUCCAAAAGAAUACUAAAGCAGCAGAGGAAAUGAAAUAUUUGUUUACCAUCAACACCAAGAGACUAGAAGAGCCAGGUUUCAGGAUCAUAUAAUAUGGCAACCAAAGCUAAAAAGCCCCACACCAUGAGGACACCAAUCACAGCAGUUCUCCACAUGUGGUCCCAGUUCUCAAUUACGGGAACAUCAGCCUCAAAAUUCAGAUGUGGUGAGGGCAGAUCCUCACCAUCACCAACAAAUUCUGUUGAAUCUACCCUGCCGAUCUCAUUUAUGGCCUGUGGCUGUCGCAUGGCAUGGAUUCUAAUGUUUGAACAUAUGUUGCAAGUGCAGUUGCCACCUAGAUAUGAUGGGAGAUUCUGAAGAUAAUCGAAAAUAACCCUGUGGUACUUCUUUCCCUCAAUUCUCAACUUCUUUCGAGUGAUGGGUUUCAGAACUUGAAUAAAAGUUUGAGCAAUAACUCGAACAACCGGAGGAAGCCGUAUAACAAGCAAAUGGCCAAGACGAUUGGGGAAGUUAUCUUGCAGGAGCAAAGAACAGGAUCUCAUCAUCUGCAUAGGAAGUCUCAAUGGUGAUAUCCCAUCACAAUCCACAAGAACUGUAAUCUGAGGAUUAUCCUUGCUAACCAAAUGAAGAACUCCAUGCUCUACCUGAGAGAUGACUGCUUGUGCAAAGCGAGGUCUCUCAUGAAAUGGCAAAUUGAGGCAAGCUAGUCCAAGGCGUACAAUGAGGCAAGGCCUGUUCUCCACAUCAAAUCCAUGCCAGAAAACCAUAUUUGACCACAUAUCAAGCUCUUGUUCUGAAAGAAUUCUGUAAGUCUCCCUCCAACGGAUUGUCUUCUUAAUUGAUGAUAAGAAGCAUGAUAAAUCCCCAUUUGCAGCAGCAAAAAAUCUAUGGAGCUCAUCCUCAUUAAUUCUUUCUGGUAACGUCAUGCCUUGGUUUUCUAGCUCUUUUAGGAGUUGCAUCAACCAAUUUUCAGAUUCAAUACUUUGAGCAUUCUCAUCAGUAGUCCUUGUAUCGAGAGAAGAAUGCACAAGGGAUGACUCAGACUGUAUUUCUGAAUGGGCUUGAGAAUCACUGACAUCAUUUGAGGUUUCAAUAUCGCUGUCUGAUUGUUCAGAGAAUGCUGUUGCAACUGAUAAGAGUAAUAAAGGCCUUGAGAACAUCUGCAUGCCUUUGACCAAACUGUUCAAGGGACCCCAUCUCUGAAUCCACUUAAAAGGUGGAUAGCAAAGAACUUGCAAAGCCUGAAGACCACGCCAUAGAGGGGGACACUUGGACCUGGAAACUCUUCGUACUGUCUCUAAGGCAGCAACUUUAAGUACAAAAAUUGCUGCAUGACCAACUGCACCUCCGCCAUUUUUACUAUAGCCCAGUGAAGCUAUGAGUUUAUAAGCACUCUGUGGAAAUGGUUUAGGAUCAGAAGUACCUAAAUUUCUCUUAUAAACCUUUUUCCUAGCAGCAACAGAUGUUGCUUCAGAAUUCCCACUUAAACCAGAACUGUAAGGUGGCUCUCCCAUGGAAAUUGAUUAAAAAAUUACCUCUAAAUUCACAUUCUCAGCCAACUAAGAGUGAUGGUCACACAUACUUUAUUUUUAACUAGCAGCAGCUACCUCC
Molecule: unclassified non-coding RNA, 1729 nt
Filed under: Hevea brasiliensis (rubber tree)
Lineage: Eukaryota; Viridiplantae; Streptophyta; Magnoliopsida; Malpighiales; Euphorbiaceae
Source: RNAcentral